This 72-nucleotide transfer RNA is filed under the name Marmota monax (woodchuck). RNAcentral's name for it is "tRNA.Thr". It matches the Rfam family "tRNA". Rfam says of the family: Transfer RNA (tRNA) molecules are approximately 80 nucleotides in length. The record is from RNAcentral. Lineage: Eukaryota; Metazoa; Chordata; Mammalia; Rodentia; Sciuridae.
UGUGGUGUAGUUCAGUGGUACAGUCCUUGCAAAGUAUGCAUAUGGGCCUGGGUUCAAUCCCCAGCACCACUG